UUUGUCAGUUCCAUAAUCACGAACUCUCCUCAGAUCUUUAACAAGGGGCAGCCUAAGCCUUGUCGGUUACAGACCAGUUGCUUUACUGUGACGCUCGGCGCGGCCUCUUCCUGCAGAGGCACCUCCCCUUCAGGGAGAGUCAAGGAGAAGACUGGCCAGGACGGGCUUCUGAGAGUCUUACAAUCGGGAAAGUGAGCUGGGUAAGACUUUCUAGAACUAAAGGAACUGCAUGAACUUAGAACUAUAAUUCCAUGACUUCUGCUUUCAAACAUUGCCUGUUCUUUCGUUUUUCCAGAUUUAAGGAAACCUUUGAAGGUAUCAACAAUUUAAGAUACACCCUUGUGAACGAAGAUGAAACCAUUUUUCUCUGCUAUCUCCAGAAUUUGCCAACUUAGUCUAAAUUCUCAUUUUAGUGGCAAUAUAUAUGCAUGAGUGCACUAAGAAUCUGUUCUUGCAACAGGACACGAUUGGGAAUGUUGAUUACGUUACCAGGCUUUGACCUAGACUGUGCUAUUUGAGAGCGUUGUAAAGACUCUGAGAUGAUCAGCUUUCAGGAACUAAGGCCGACCUUAUGGAGCCAAUAAAGACCCUGGGGGAACAACAGCCUGGCCCCUUGCUUACAGGGUUCCCGGCAGCCUGGCCUGGCAAAGUCUGACAGCAGGUCCUUGGUGUGGCUUCUUAGCCUGGAGAGGCUUUUGAGGUUCAUCCAAGACUCUAUGGAAAGUUCCAGCAAAGCAGACUUAAUAGAGCCUAUACGCCGUGUGAGCUAGAGCCGGACCCCCUGACAUACACUCUGGAGAAACCACCCCAGCUCCCGUGGGGGCCACUCAGAAAGCUUGCCAGCCAUCC
This is a non-coding RNA of Callorhinus ursinus (northern fur seal), 849 nucleotides long. NCBI's taxonomy places the organism in Eukaryota, Metazoa, Chordata, Mammalia, Carnivora, Otariidae. The record is from RefSeq and is a predicted model, not a curated record.